Molecule: non-coding RNA, 31 nt
Filed under: Homo sapiens (human)
Lineage: Eukaryota; Metazoa; Chordata; Mammalia; Primates; Hominidae
Source: RNAcentral
UAAACUGCUGGGAAUACUGCAGGCAGCUGGC